UGGGGAAUUUUGGACAAUGGGCGAAAGCCUGAUCCAGCCAUGCCGCGUGAGUGAAGAAGGCCUUCGGGUUGUAAAGCUCUUUUAGUCGGAAAGAAAGAGUUGCAAUGAAUAAUUGUGAUUUAUGACGGUACCGACAGAAAAAGCACCGGCUAACUACGUGCCAGCAGCCGCGGUAAUACGUAGGGUGCGAGCGUUAAUCGGAAUUACUGGGCGUAAAGGGUGCGCAGGCGGUCUUGCAAGUCAGAUGUGAAAGCCCCGGGCUUAACCUGGGAAUUGCGUUUGAAACUACAAGGCUAGAGUGCAGCAGAGGGGAGUGGAAUUCCAUGUGUAGCAGUGAAAUGCGUAGAGAUGUGGAAGAACACCGAUGGCGAAGGCAGCUCCCUGGGUUGACACUGACGCUCA
RNAcentral lists this ribosomal RNA (402 nucleotides) under uncultured bacterium. RNAcentral describes it as "bacterial SSU rRNA". It matches the Rfam family "Bacterial small subunit ribosomal RNA", at positions 355 to 749 of the family's 1533-position model. The record is from RNAcentral.